ACGAACGCUGGCGGCGUGCUUAACACAUGCAAGUCGAACGAUGAAGCCUUUCGGGGUGGAUUAGUGGCGAACGGGUGAGUAACACGUGGGCAAUCUGCCCUUCACUCUGGGACAAGCCCUGGAAACGGGGUCUAAUACCGGAUAACACUCUGUCCCGCAUGGGACGGGGUUAAAAGCUCCGGCGGUGAAGGAUGAGCCCGCGGCCUAUCAGCUUGUUGGUGGGGUAAUGGCCUACCAAGGCGACGACGGGUAGCCGGCCUGAGAGGGCGACCGGCCACACUGGGACUGAGACACGGCCCAGACUCCUACGGGAGGCAGCAGUGGGGAAUAUUGCACAAUGGGCGAAAGCCUGAUGCAGCGACGCCGCGUGAGGGAUGACGGCCUUCGGGUUGUAAACCUCUUUCAGCAGGGAAGAAGCGAAAGUGACGGUACCUGCAGAAGAAGCGCCGGCUAACUACGUGCCAGCAGCCGCGGUAAUACGUAGGGCGCAAGCGUUGUCCGGAAUUAUUGGGCGUAAAGAGCUCGUAGGCGGCUUGUCACGUCGGAUGUGAAAGCCCGGGGCUUAACCCCGGGUCUGCAUUCGAUACGGGCUAGCUAGAGUGUGGUAGGGGAGAUCGGAAUUCCUGGUGUAGCGGUGAAAUGCGCAGAUAUCAGGAGGAACACCGGUGGCGAAGGCGGAUCUCUGGGCCAUUACUGACGCUGAGGAGCGAAAGCGUGGGGAGCGAACAGGAUUAGAUACCCUGGUAGUCCACGCCGUAAACGUUGGGAACUAGGUG
Molecule: ribosomal RNA, 776 nt
Filed under: Streptomycetaceae bacterium
Lineage: Bacteria; Bacillati; Actinomycetota; Actinomycetes; Kitasatosporales; Streptomycetaceae
Description: bacterial SSU rRNA
Rfam family: Bacterial small subunit ribosomal RNA
Source: RNAcentral